Molecule: long non-coding RNA, 1265 nt
Filed under: Pogona vitticeps (central bearded dragon)
Lineage: Eukaryota; Metazoa; Chordata; Lepidosauria; Squamata; Agamidae
Description: lncRNA (ENSPVIG00000009659.1)
Source: RNAcentral
AUUCUCUGCAAUUCUUGCCUCAAGAACUAUUCCAGACUACAUUUAAAAUGUGUAUUUUCAGAUGAAAUGUAUUUAGAAAUGGGUAUUUGAAUACAAAUAUAUUUUCAAAGCACGUUUUUAAAUGUAAAUUGUCCUGCUUUUUAAAAAUGCAGAUUAAUGUGGCAGAUUGGGAGUAUGGUUAUCAAAUGCAAAAUAAGGAAGAUAAUAAGAACUCCUCAAUUCAAAUCAUUAUGUAAGUCUUAAUAUUAUUAUUUCCUUCCGGUCUGUCCAGAAUCUUAUUAUGAGGAUGCUGCAACCUUGGCUAGGUCCUAGAACAUUGUAGAAGAGUUAUUGGGAUCGCCAUUUCCCAGGCCUCUUCAAUCCAAUAGAAUUUCAUCCAGUUCAUUACUGUACCCAAGAAUUAAUUCAUCAUCUCUAUUGCCUCAGAUGAUUUAGAUGAAAAAGAAAAGAAGGAUAAAUGUCUGUCAGCUCAAUUCAGGAAUUUGAAAUUUGUGUUUAAUUAACAUGCAUAGAGGGGAAUCCUGCAACCCCAUCUCUUUAUGAUGCCAUCACUCUUCUAUGUGUGUAGAGCAAUGUGUCUAAAGAGGAAAGCUCCUACUAUGUGUAAGGACAUUCCAUGAUAGUUGGAAUCUGAUAUCCCCUGCCUUGAGAACUAAUUUAUGUAAGGAUUCACCAUGUGCAGAAGAGGCUCUCCUUUUUAGAUGCAUCACUCUCCAUGGAAGAGUAACAACAUUGGCAACAGAGGAUUACAAUUUAUGUAAGGAUUCACCAUGUGCAGAAAGAGGCUCUCCUCUUUAGAUGCAUCACUCUCCAUGCAUGGAAGAGUAAGAACAUUGGCAACAGAGGAUUAGGGCUCAGCACUCCCCUAUAUGUCUAUGAGAAUUCUGAACACCUGCAUAGGUCUCCCCUUGCUUUACAAAAAACAGUGAUCGUCAUACUGGCAGAAAACAAAUACCUGUGCAAGCUUUUGAAAAUACCACCUGUUCAUCAGGUACAAUCUAAAAGGCAAACACCAGUCUGGAUCCAUUCCCUCAAGAGCUGUGAAGCCUUGGAAGGCAGAAGUAAUACAAGGGGUAUUUAACUCAGUAGUCCCCACAACCCUGCAACCUUAUCGCUCAGCUAUGGAUUCCUUUGUUUCAUUCCUGGGGCAGGCAGGCUGUCCCACAUCACUGCUGGCUUCACAGAUAGCUAUUCUUCAGUACCUAUCAUUUCUUUGCGUGGAGGGACGGGCUGUGAGGACAUUGGACAUGCAUAAAGCAGCAAUC